Molecule: ribosomal RNA, 490 nt
Filed under: uncultured bacterium
Lineage: Bacteria
Description: partial 16S ribosomal RNA
Rfam family: Bacterial small subunit ribosomal RNA
Source: RNAcentral
AUUGAACGCUGGCGGCAGGCCUAACACAUGCAAGUCGAACGGUAACAGGAAGCAGCUUGCUGCUUUGCUGACGAGUGGCGGACGGGUGAGUAAUGUCUGGGAAACUGCCCGAUGGAGGGGGAUAACUACUGGAAACGGUAGCUAAUACCGCAUAACGUCGCAAGACCAAAGAGGGGGACCUUAGGGCCUCUUGCCAUCGGAUGUGCCCAGAUGGGAUUAGCUAGUAGGUGGGGUAACGGCUCACCAAGGCGACGAUCCCUAGCUGGUCUGAGAGGAGGACGAGCCAGAGGGGAAGUGAGAAAGGCGAGGGAGGCCUACGGGAGGCAGCAGGGGGGAAUAGUGGACGAGGGGCGAAAGUUUGAGAAAGCCAUACCGCGGGGAGGAAGAAGGACUUCGGGCUGCAAAGCCCUUUUGUGGUGAAAGAAAAGAAGAAGGUUGAUAACGCGCGGGUAGGACGGGACCCAAAGAAUAAGAACCGGCGAACGUCGUG